AGUGAACGCUGGCGGUAGGCCUAACACAUGCAAGUCGAACGGCAGCACAGUAAGAGCUUGCUCUUACGGGUGGCGAGUGGCGGACGGGUGAGGAAUACAUCGGAAUCUACUUUUGCGUGGGGGAUAACGUAGGGAAACUUACGCUAAUACCGCAUACGACCUACGGGUGAAAGCAGGGGAUCUUCGGACCUUGCGCGAUUGAAUGAGCCGAUGUCGGAUUAGCUAGUUGGCGGGGUAAAGGCCCACCAAGGCGACGAUCCGUAGCUGGUCUGAGAGGAUGAUCAGCCAAACUGGAACUGAGACACGGUCCAGACUCCUACGGGAGGCAGCAGUGGGGAAUAUUGGACAAUGGGCGCAAGCCUGAUCCAGCCAUACCGCGUGGGUGAAGAAGGCCUUCGGGUUGUAAAGCCCUUUUGUUGGGAAAGAAAAGCAGCAGGUUAAUACCCCGCUGUUCUGACGGUACCCAACGAAUAAGCACCGGCUAACUUCGUG
This 492-nucleotide ribosomal RNA is filed under the name uncultured bacterium. RNAcentral describes it as "partial 16S ribosomal RNA". It matches the Rfam family "Bacterial small subunit ribosomal RNA", at positions 29 to 507 of the family's 1533-position model. The record is from RNAcentral.